UACGGGGGGGGCAAGCGUUGUCCGGAGUUACUGGGCGUAAAGCGCACGCAGGCGGUCUCUUAAGUUUGGAGUGACAGUUGGUGGCUUAACUGCCAAAGUGCUUCGAAAACUGAGAGACUUGAGGGCUUCAGAGGGACACGGAAUUCCGGGUGGAGUGGUGAAAUGCGUAGAGAUCCGGAGGAACACCAAAGGCGAAGGCAGUGUCCUGGGGAGUACCUGACGCUCAGGUGCGAAAGCCAGGGGAGCGAACGGG
Molecule: ribosomal RNA, 253 nt
Filed under: uncultured bacterium
Lineage: Bacteria
Description: partial 16S ribosomal RNA
Rfam family: Bacterial small subunit ribosomal RNA
Source: RNAcentral